Cucurbita moschata (crookneck pumpkin) is the source of this 1356-nucleotide RNA transcript. It is a transcript of the gene named protein THYLAKOID FORMATION1, chloroplastic-like, with no coding region annotated. Lineage: Eukaryota; Viridiplantae; Streptophyta; Magnoliopsida; Cucurbitales; Cucurbitaceae. The record is from RefSeq and is a predicted model, not a curated record. The transcript has 6 exons.
CUCUCUAUCAUGGCCUCUCAGUUUCGUCCUCUCUUGUUUCUUUCUUUUCUUUUUUUUUUCUUCUCCCAGAAAAAAUCUUCGACAUGAAAUCCUGUUUCUCUGGAAGUUCGUAAGAUUUGCAAAUUUCUUCUCAUUCUUCUGCAAUGGCGGCUGUUAAUUCCGUGUCAUUCUCAACGGUAAGUCAGUUUUCUGAUCGAAGGUCGCCGGUUCCGUCGGCUCGUUCACUCGCCUCGAAUUUCGACGGGUUUCGUUUCCGUUCUAGUGUUUUCUAUCAUCAUUCGGGAGUUCGAACCUCGAGUUUCAGUUCUCGCUUGGUCAUUCAUUGCAUGUCCGCCGGAACAGAUGUGACGACUGUAGCUGAGACUAAAUUGAACUUUCUAAAGGCGUAUAAACGACCUAUCCCCAGCAUAUACAACUCUGUUCUGCAAGAGUUGAUUGUGCAGCAGCAUUUGAUGAGGUAUAAGAGGACGUACCGUUAUGAUCCUGUUUUCGCCCUCGGUUUUGUUACUGUAUAUGAUCAGCUUAUGGAUGGGUACCCUAGCGAUGAGGAUCGGGAGGCCAUUUUCCAAGCCUACAUUAAGGCGUUGAAUGAGGAUCCAGAGCAAUAUAGAAUUGAUGCUCAAAAAUUGGAAGAGUGGGCUCGGUCUCAGUCUGCAGCUUCAUUGGUUGAAUUUGCAUCAAAAGAAGGAGAAGUUGAGAGUGUUUUGAAAGACAUUGCAGAACGAGCUGCGAGUAAGGGGAGUUUCAGUUACAGCCGAUUUUUUGCUAUUGGGCUAUUUCGACUCCUCGAAUUGGCAAAUGCUACUGAACCCAGUAUCUUGGAAAAGAGAAAUUGGAUCCUGAUGGAAGAGUGCUUAACCUUAUUCAGUUCGAUAGAAUUAGGUUCAAGCUCUGUGCCGCUUUAAAUGUUGACAAAAAAAGUGUGGACCGAGACCUUGAUGUAUACCGCAACCUGCUUUCGAAGUUGGUUCAGGCGAAGGAGCUCCUAAAGGAAUACGUUGAUAGAGAGAAGAAGAAAAGAGAUGAGAGGGCUGGAUCACAGACAGCUAACGAGGCCGUAACAAAAUGAAUGAUUGGGUGAAUACAGCAUAGAGAGUGGUUUUUGAGAGCUGAUGACAUCAAUUGGAGCACUCACCGCCUAAUUUGAGAUAAGACUUUAAAGAGUUAUAGCAAUAUUCUAAAUACCUGAUAGAUAUGCAUUUGUACUGUAUUGUUGGGUCUUCUGCAUUUGGUAAAUUUUGUAUUCUGCCAGCUUCUACUUUUAUUCUCAUUUGUAUUACAUAUUUUGAGUGCAAUUGUCUAUACAAAUGCUUUCGCACUCUGUGCAGUAAUCAUAUUUGUCUCUCUCUUGACCAC